Small nuclear RNA from Jaculus jaculus (lesser Egyptian jerboa), 111 nucleotides. The record is from Ensembl. Lineage: Eukaryota; Metazoa; Chordata; Mammalia; Rodentia; Dipodidae.
GCUGCAGGAUUCAAAAGCAGCACAUAUACUAAAAUUGGCACAAUACAGAGAAGAUUGGCAUGGCCCCUACGCAAGGAUGGUAUGCAAAUUCGUGAAGCAUUCCAUAUAUUU